GAAAAUCUUUGAUCAUGGAUAGAAUGGGGGACAAGGACAUUGUCAAGCGAGCGUUUAAGGCAUUCCAAAGCAGUUUCAACCAAGGAAAACCCGAAGUAGAUACAAGAUAUAGUGGAUCAAAGAAGGUAUUGCCAAAAGGAUCAGAGAAAAAGAUUUCAGCUUCUCCGACUCCUAAAAAGGAGGUUGAAAGAUUAAGGAAGACAUCAGAUGCGGUUAUCACUCAAAAAUGCCAAUCAGGGACUAGAUCAAACUCUCUGUCAUCACGGGCACCUAAAGAUGCUGUUAUAGAGAGGAAAAAGGUGAAUACUGUCAGACCUGCUGGCAUGAGUAUCGAUAGAUCAAUUGAUAAAUUGAAGGAGGAUAUCAUCAAAGGUAAGAUUCACCGUGCUGGAUCAAAUAGGUGAAGUUAAAACAUUAGCAGGAUACCUUGGUAGAUAAAAUGUUGAGUUAAACUUGCAUGUAGAAGAAGAAACAUCUGAAGAAUUUACUGUGUGCUUAGGCAAGAGCAAGACGAAUCAUGUUUUCGUAUUUCUGGUGUAGUUUGCACUCUGCUGGACUCCUGAAUCGGAUGUCUUGUUCUUACAUUGAAUAAGGUAUAGCAUUAGAAUUUAGAUCAUAGUUUAAAGUACAAAAGAAGUGUGUGUGAGAAGUACAGUAUUGAGU
Molecule: unclassified non-coding RNA, 663 nt
Filed under: Hevea brasiliensis (rubber tree)
Lineage: Eukaryota; Viridiplantae; Streptophyta; Magnoliopsida; Malpighiales; Euphorbiaceae
Source: RNAcentral